Molecule: RNase P RNA, 293 nt
Filed under: unidentified bacterium SM-A14
Lineage: Bacteria
Description: partial RNAase P
Rfam family: Bacterial RNase P class A
About the family: Ribonuclease P (RNase P) is a ubiquitous endoribonuclease, found in archaea, bacteria and eukarya as well as chloroplasts and mitochondria. Its best characterised activity is the generation of mature 5'-ends of tRNAs by cleaving the 5'-leader elements of precursor-tRNAs. Cellular RNase Ps are ribonucleoproteins.
Source: RNAcentral
GAGGAAAGUCCGGGCUCCUUCGGACAGGGCGCCAGGUAACGCCUGGGGGGCGUGAGCCCACGGAAAGUGCCACAGAAAAUAUACCGCCAGCUUCGGCUGGUAAGGGUGAAAUGGUGCGGUAAGAGCGCACCGCGCGACUGGCAACGGCUUGCGGCACGGUAAACCCCGCCCGGAGCAAGACCAAAUAGGGGAGCAUGUCCGUCGUGUCCGAACGGGCUCCCGGGUAGGUUGCUUGAGGUGGCCGGUGACGGCUAUCCCAGAUGAAUGGUUGUCGAUGACAGAACCCGGCUUAC